UACGAAGGGGGCUAGCGUUGCUCGGAAUCACUGGGCGUAAAGGGUGCGUAGGCGGGUUAUUAAGUCAGAGGUGAAAUCCUGGAGCUCAACUCCAGAACUGCCUUUGAUACUGAUAGUCUUGAGUAUGGGAGAGGUGAGUGGAACUGCGAGUGUAGAGGUGAAAUUCGUAGAUAUUCGCAAGAACACCAGUGGCGAAGGCGGCUUUCUG
RNAcentral lists this ribosomal RNA (208 nucleotides) under uncultured bacterium. RNAcentral's name for it is "partial 16S ribosomal RNA". It matches the Rfam family "Bacterial small subunit ribosomal RNA", at positions 524 to 731 of the family's 1533-position model. The record is from RNAcentral.